CCCUUAGAUGUUCUGGGCAGCACGCGCGCUACAAUGGUCUUCGCAAACGGAUGCAUUCUCGAAGGAGAAUGCCAAUCUUGGAAUCUAUGCCUUGGUCGGGACAGUUGCUUGCAAUUUUUCGACUCGAACCAGGAAUUCCUUGUAAUCGUGAUUCAUCACAUCACGAUGAAUACGUCCCUGCCCUUUGUACACACCGCCCGUCGCACCUACCGAUUGAAUGGUUCGGUGAAGAUCUCGGACUUCGAUAUUUAUUCUUUACUGAGUUUAUAUUGUGGGAAGUUAUCUAAACCUCAUCAUUUAGAGGAAGGUGAAGUCGUAACA
RNAcentral lists this ribosomal RNA (321 nucleotides) under uncultured eukaryote. Its description in RNAcentral is "partial 18S ribosomal RNA". It matches the Rfam family "Eukaryotic small subunit ribosomal RNA", at positions 1470 to 1796 of the family's 1831-position model. The record is from RNAcentral.